Molecule: long non-coding RNA, 2627 nt
Filed under: Sus scrofa (pig)
Lineage: Eukaryota; Metazoa; Chordata; Mammalia; Artiodactyla; Suidae
Description: lncRNA (ENSSSCG00065051274.1)
Source: RNAcentral
AGAGACUGAGACUUUGAGCUGGGGAAGAGAGAGGGAGGGGAGAGGAGGCAAAAGAAGGAGAGAGAGAGAGAGAGAGAGAGAGAGAGAGAGAAACGCAGAGGGAGGGAGGCAGGGAGACCAAACCCCCGCUUUACUGCGUUGAAAGCUCCUGAAUUUCAAGCAGAAAGUAGAAGGAGCAUCACACGGCAAUGGGCGUCUUUCCUUGGGCUGCGUGUGCAGAGCGUAGACAAUGAAAAUCUCCAUCCCCCUCCCCCAUCCCCGCUAGACUACAAGAUUUUUCUUUUCGUUCCUUAUCAACGGUGGAAGAUGUGCAAAAUCAAAUACACAGAGCUGUGCAUUUAUUUUUAAAAUAAAUAAAGCAAACGGGCUGAGACGCGGAUUACCCAAACGCGCACCGGCUGGGCGCGUUGCGGGGUCUCUGCGUUAGACCGGUUCUCAGCGGUUUCUGCAGCCACAGCCUGGCUCUACGCCUCCCCCCGGGCCGCGGGGGCGGAGAAUCCUCCCUUCCUCGGACACUGGAGCCGGAGCGGACCUUGCCCUCCCGCGGACCGCGCGGUAGGGGACGCCGAGAAAAGAGCCCCUGCGCCCGCCGCCUCCGGCCCGCCGCGCAGAGGGCUCCGCCCGUAGAGGUCAACUCCCCUCACCCUUUCGGCUCUCCUGAUCGCCCUCCCUCCGCCCGGCCCAGGCUCCGCCAGCCUCCCGACUCGGGCCGCAGUCUGAGGAGUGCGCCUCCGCUGCGCUGCUCUGAACCUUAACCCCGAGCCGGGCCCAGACCCGAGGUCCGCGCACCCCGGCGGUGGGGAAGCCUUAGCGAGCAGCCUUUUCUCUGCAGCAAAGCUGUAGGAAGACCAGAUGGGCCGCGCAGCUCUCUCGGGACUAGGCAGGUUCUGUAUAACUGCCUCUUCUUGGACAUCUUAGGAGGAGGACUGUCUGGAUCAGUGAUGAAGAUAGGAAAAUACAUGUAUAAUAAUUCUAUAUUGCCUAAAUAUUUUCACUAGUCAUUUCUAAGUUAAAAUUUUCUGUAUACAAAAUUAAAUAUAUAUAGAUGUAUGCAUUCAAAAAAUACAUAUUUAUAAUGUCUCAGUAAACUUUUAGUCCCCUUCCUGAAGCUGUAAGUUAGAGGCAUCUUUUACAAAGAAGAAUGUGACUGGCUGGACCUCAACAACCUCUGUGUUGCAGACUCUACUUCCUUUUCCUUGAAAAGCUCCAGAAAAACCCUCUGUCCUGGAGAGACCAGUCCUGAUUCUCCCUUAACUGAGAACAGCUUUACUGGCAGAGGUGUCUCAUCACAUGGUCUCUCUCUGUAUUCCCUAAUUUGAGUGGAAUGUUGAGUGCAUGAACAGUACCCCUGUACUUAUAGGAACCAGAGGAAAAUAAGAAUGAUAGUAAGAUGAAAUUAACCACCAUCCACUUUAUUCAAUCCAUUCAGCAGCACAUAAGCACCAGGAUUAUAGCAAUUGGCAUAUUAGAGAGUAUUCUGAAAAGUUGUCAGGAGGUACUGUGUAACAGAGCUUUCUUUUCUGCUCUUCUCAUCAUAUUGAUUAUGUUUCACGUCAUAAAACAAAUCCCCAAACUCUGCCCAGAGGCUGCCUGCUAUGCUAAUGGAGAGGAUGCCAGGCAAAGAUGCUGAGGGUGCAGAUGUCUCUCUGCUGGGCUUUGCACAUGACACUGGAUGGCCCUUAAAUGAGGUUAGUUAAUUGGCAAAGGGCAGAGAAGAGGCCAUCAUUUCUUGAGUACUUGCCUCUAUGCUGGGAGCUGUACCAGGGGCUAAAAGUUUGCUGUGGCUGGAGAGACUGAGGACUUGGCAUUCUGCAUUGGAGGAAGAAACACAGAAAUAGAAAAAAGAGAGCUCACCUGAGAAAGACGAGGAAGAGAAGCUACCAACAACACUACCAACAACAAUCUAACAAAGUUCAAAAAUGGCAUUCCUUCUGCCAAAUCUCAUUCUUCUUGGAGCUUAACCAACCCUUGCCUGCUUGGCUUGCCUUGGAUUCCAUACUUCCAAAACCCCUCGGUAAAGCCACCCCAUCAGUCACUUCUACUUAAAAUGCCUCAUCCUUGUGGUUCAUAAGAGUGCCCCCAUGGCUAUGUUCUAGAUUAUUCUAUAGCAAUCUUGAUAACUCUAUUGUGAUAGCAAUCUUAAAUUUAAUUUUAUAUCCAGUCAUCCUAGAUUUCUGAAGUUUUUGGUGCCACCUUCUGAGAGGCCAUCUAGAAGUUAGGGUUCAGAUAAGUGCCUAAUGCUUUGGUUUUUUUUAAUGUGUUCCUUUUAUUUUUUUAUUUUUAAAACGUGUUCCUUUUAAACAAGUGGCAAAAUAGCUUUUGCAUAUUCUCUUAAGAUAAGAAAGAUGUCUUAGUUUCCUAGUUUUUAUGGGGAGGUGAUUUUACAAAUAAAACAUGCUAUGUCUUUGUAUCUAUUAAAAAAAAAGUUUCCCCUUUCCUUGACUUAAUCUCGGCUUCUCAAGAGUGACUCUACUGACCCUUGGACUGGAUAUUGCUUCGUUGCCAUUGGGAAGAGAGGCUCCAUCCGAUGCCUUGUAGGACACUCAGCAGAAUCCCAUACCUAGUAUAUUGUAGUUGUUUGAUAAAUGUUAAAUUGAGUGAAUUCUAAUAAAUGAAAUAAUGCUAUG